Molecule: long non-coding RNA, 1251 nt
Organism: Pezoporus occidentalis (night parrot)
Lineage: Eukaryota; Metazoa; Chordata; Aves; Psittaciformes; Psittacidae
Exons: 4
Source: RefSeq, a predicted model, not a curated record
CAGGUGUGAUCUGUUGCCUCAGCCAGUGGCACUGAGAGUGCCUUGCUUCUUGUCCAUAACAACACCGUGAAAAGUGAGCAUACAAGUGUUAAGAUUUGAACAUAAAGGAUAUCAAAGGCUUCUAAAGACAAACUAGGGCUACAAAUUAGUAGAAAAGCAGCAGACUGGCUACACAUGAGCUGAGGUCAGUGACAGCCUAUAAACCAGUAAAGAGGAUCUGAGGUAAGAGCCAGAACAGCUUUCAAGCAAGCUUUGCAUUGUCUGGUUUUGACUAAUCUACCAAGAGGUCAAUAGAAACUUUAUGUACUUUAUUAGUAGGAAAUUAAAGUAUCUGUCUUGGAUCACGCUCAACCCAGUGUUUACAGCAGAAGGUUGAUGAAGCUUUCAUUUCACUCUGAUGGCGAAACAUCGUCAUUUUCAAGCAAGAUGGGUGUGGGAUACCUCCCAAGUCUGACCUGUGAUGGUGCUUUACCUUAGGCAAAUGGCCUAAACACUUACCAAAAAGGACUAUUAGCGAGAGCAGACUGAACUGAAGAAAUACAGAUGAUCGGAGUGGGGAACUGCAGGAAUUGCCAUGUCUUAGCAGACCUUACCAGUUUCACUUGCAGGCGUUCACUUGGAUGAAUUUCUUGUCAGAAGACAUGUAAGGAUCAAAGUGUCAGAGACCUGACAGCACGUACAGGUGAUUCAGAAUUGUGUGAGAAGAUAAUCUCAUAAAAUCAUGAGGAGAAAGAACUAAGUGUAGGUCCUGUCAUCCAAAUAACCAUAAAGCUGUCAAUGGAAACUUUGCUUACUGUGCUUCCUGAUAGGAUUGUUUAUGGUUGACCACAUGGUCCAUUUAGUUCAUUACUAUGUCUUGUGCUUGCUUCAUCAGAAGAGCUUGAGAUCAGGGACUAAAGAACACUUGUGCUUUGUGAGAGGAUACACCAUUAAACUUCUUCAAGGCUGACAAGUAAUUUCUAUUAUGGCUGCAUUUAAAUGUUUGUGAAAACUAUUCCCAUUUUCUUAUCAACAAAGCAUCAUCAUCAGCACAUCUCGAGGAUGAAAAUACAUUUGGAAGCAGCCACCACAAGAGCAAUGCAACUGAAAUGUUCUCCUGAGGACAAUAAGCAAGCUCUUUAAAGGUAGCAAUGAUAUGGCAUAAAUGUACUCUCUAAGGACAGAAUAACUGAUGCAUUUCCCUGGGGAUCAUUCUGCUGCAGAAAGCUUACUGUGAAAUGAUAAUGCAAAUAAAGACCAGAAACUCUGUAA